CCCACGGCCCGUCAAGCGAUGAAAUGCCCAGCUGUUGGGGNUGCUUUGGCACCCNCAGUAGCNGCAGCUAACGCUUUUGAGCAUUCCCGGCCUGGGGANGUACGGUUCGCAAGAUUAAAANNNCNAAGGGAAUUGACGGGGGCCCGCACAAGCGGUGGNGCAUGUGGUUUAAUUCGAAGCAACGCGCAGAACCUUACCAUCCUUUGACAUGGCGUGUUACGUGGAGAGAUUCACGGUCCCCUUCGGGGGCGCGCACACAGGUGCUGCAUGGCUGUCGUCAGCUCGUGUCGUGAGAUGUUGGGUUAAGUCCCGCAACGAGCGCAACCCACGUCCUUAGUUGCCAUCAUUCAGUUGGGCACUCUAGGGAGACUGCCGGUGAUAAGCCGCGAGGAAGGUGUGGAUGACGUCAAGUCCUCAUGGCCCUUACGGGAUGGGCUACACACGUGCUACAAUGGCGGUGACAGUGGGACGCGAAGGAGCGAUCUGGAGCAAAUCCCCAAAAGCCGUCUCAGUUCGGAUUGCACUCUGCAACUCGAGUGCAUGAAGGCGGAAUCGCUAGUAAUCGUGGAUCAGCAUGCCACGGUGAAUACGUUCCCGGGCCUUGUACACACCGCCCGUCACACCAUGGGAGUUGGUCUUACCCGACGGCGCUGNAAACAACCGNCGGGGGGGGCAGGCGAUUCUC
Molecule: ribosomal RNA, 685 nt
Filed under: Methylobacterium sp. sc_6
Lineage: Bacteria; Pseudomonadati; Pseudomonadota; Alphaproteobacteria; Hyphomicrobiales; Methylobacteriaceae
Description: bacterial SSU rRNA
Rfam family: Bacterial small subunit ribosomal RNA
Source: RNAcentral